ACCAUAUGUUUAAGGUAUAUUCCUUACUGAACAUUCUUUGAUGACGAAUGUUUUGAAGUAUUAUAAUGUUAAUUAAUGAAUAUCCAAACGAAGAAAUAAGACUCAAUUGAUUAUCAAUAUGUGCAACGUAAAAAUACUUUUUUUUUCGAAAUGCUCAUCGGUAGAGUUAUGUUUAUUUAUCUGAAGAACAGACAUAUAUGUGGUAUGAAAAUCCGUGAAAUAUUCAUAACUGCAUCAUAUUUGACAUGUUUGAUAUACAUCUUUUUGUUUUUUACAGUUUGUCGUACUUGUGGAGACUGGUAACAAUACCACCAUUACUAUCAUUACUAUUAAGCAUUUGUUACCUAUCAAUAUAUACUGCCGUUCAUUGCAAUACAUUACUCGCGAUUAAUAUUGAAAUGAAUAUAUGGAAAACACUAGUUCUUAAGUAUGCUAUGAUAACGCAACCUUUAUGCUAGGUGUAGCAGAUAUUUGUCUUUUGUUGUCUUGUAUGUUCAGGCGUGUAUCUACUCAUCACCGACAACAUUGAACCAGUCAACUCAAACGGCGGAGUUAGUGAUGCUUGAAAGCCAUGGACAUUUCCACGUCUAGAUGUACCCGUUGCCAUAGACGUCAACAACUGGAAUCAGUGUUACGGAAAGAUGCCUUAAUGAGGCUGCGGUAUGUUCAUAUCUGUCUCCAUGUGAUAGCGCGGAACUGAUGUCGACACUACAGUGCUACCCCACUGAAGUUUACGGGCAGAGGCUCCCAACAAGACACCCUACUCGAUCCAAAGACAACUGAAAACCUGACGGAUACCGCGGACAUCCAACACAAGGCUAGCGAUGAUUUUAUACCUUUCGCUACAAUACUGUUGCAUGUCCUUUCCGUGACAAUGCUGUUAUUGAUAAAUAAUAUGGUUAUCAAUAUUUUUGUUUGGGAAAUGUGGCAAAAAAAACCACAACAUGACAUUAAGAUGAGUCCAAUUAACGUCAGAAAGUUUAUGUGAAAACAAAUUAAGAGAUAUACUCAAACAUGGAUUUAUCCUAGGCCUUUAUACUAUGUUCAAUACAGCAAAACAUGAUUGCCUUCUCUUAUUAUCGAGUAAAUGAAGAGUUGAUAACAUUUGUGUCCUGUUAGGUUUGUUGAAGUAUCUCUGUUACAUUACGUAAAUAGAAAGAUAGUAUACCACAGUUUACAUACAUGUAGAAGUAUUAUACUAACGAGCAGUUCUGAGGGGAAAACAACAUGAAAAAAAACAAUGAGAACAGACAACUAACGGAGAAUCACCCUUAAGUAAAGAUAUUCUGUAUAUAUAAUGUAUAGGCCCAAAUCCCAUAUAUUAUACAACUUCAGAUCAAAUGAAGUUCAAUAUCUGCGAAAGUAGAACGCGAUCCUCUCAGUAACACAAUGUCUGCCAAAGUAGAACGCGAUCUUCUCAAUAACACAUUAUUCAUCAAUUUAUUUUAUCAUAUCAUUUUUGCAUUCAUAUUUGUGAGUUAACAGUCCGUUUUAUCCACAGUUCUAUGAUUUCUAAGACAUUUUUGACACUGGUCCCAUAUUUAUAGAAAUUAUAGUGACCCGCUUUUGCGGUGUCUAACUCACCUGCUAUUUCGCUAGCACCUUCUCAAAUUAAAUGUCGCUCCCGGAUAUACAUUAUAUUGUUUCGUAACCACCACUUAAUAUUGUUCUCUGAUAUAUUAUGACAUUGAUCUUAACCAAUUCAAGCACUUCGUUUAGCAGUAAGAAUUGGCUAUUUCCGCAUGUGCGUUUCCUCUUUUCGUGAAUUACUUACGCAUUAACUCGAAGUCAACUGUCCGUGUUUAUAGCUUGUGCAAGGAAUACAUGGAGUCAAACAGGUCAGACUUGGUUUUGUUAUUUAUUACAAAUAAGGAACUCUGGAAGAUAUUGAAGAUAGGGUUCAAGCAGGACAGACUUGUUUUUGUAAUUGGUUAUAAAACAAGGAAUCCCGGGAGAUAUUGAAGAUGGGUGAAACAGGACAUACUGGUUUUUGUUAUUUGUUUGUUAUACAUUGUGACAUAUCUUAAAUACCACUUCAUAGUCUUUGUUGACAUUUUAAUUUGCGGCAAAAUGUCACAGUUAGACAUGACAUUUUAGGGCAAAUUAGACGCUACAAUCCAACAUAUUGUAAAAUUGUGUCAGUAACUGACACCGCAAUUUUAUCUUUUGAUACGAAUUCAGGAUUUAAAUAUGCUCAUGAAGUAAAGUUAUAGCGUAAGUUCUAUUUUCAAUGUCAGAUUACAAAAAUACGAAAAUGAAAACGAUGAAUAACUUUAUUGUAAUUGACAUAUUAUAUCAAUUAACAAUUAAAAACGUAUUAUGCAACAUAUUCAUUGCAUUAAAAUGUUUUUCAAAGAAGAUUACAAACAUUAUUCGCUUAUUCAACAAUGAUCAAGAUUGACAGUAUCGUAUACAAGACAAGAACGUGCGGUUAUACAUGUAUAUAUAUAAACGAUUAUAUAAAAUCAGAAAGGUAACAAAUGAAGUAUAUUAAACACAUAUUUCAACAACAUUAUUAUCAAAAAUGAUAUAUGACAUAUAUUAUAACAUAUAUUAUAACUGAUGACUUGUUUAAUUGUUCUUAUUUUAGAAUUGUUUCCAAAACAAUGAUAAUGCAAUAUGGCAUAGAAUACGUCGUUCUGAUUAUAACUUUACAACCGGAAAUGAUGACAACACACAGAUAUACAUGUAUAUGUAAUAUUUUAUAUAAUAUAUAACUUAACGAAAACAUUGCAAAUAAAUAACGUCAGUAAAUAAACAAUAUGAAUGAUAAAAGUCUCAUAAAUUAUGUCAAUAUACGAAUGCUUAGCCAAACAUAAUUUCUUUUAUAUCAUGUCCGGCCAAGUAGCAAGCAGUUUUUGCUACAGUCACCAAGUUUCAGCAGCCAUUCUGCAUCGGAGACCUUUGAUUCACUGUCUAUAUGGCAGGCAUAUAAAGUCACAGGGGGAAGACAUUCAUGAUAUGGUAUACUAUGAAGGUCUUUGUGGCGGUUUUUAUGUCAACCCCACUAAGGCUAGCAUAGGUUCUUGUAUGUUUUUAUCUACAUUUUGAUAUUGAUUGUAGUUGCCAUUAUUGUAUGGGUGCAACUACUUUGCAAUCAUAAAAAAAUAUUUCAUGUUAGAAGCCACUAGGUGGCUUUCUUAGUAAUAAAUUUAAAUGUCACCCUGGUGGGUGGCCAUUUCAAUUUCAUAUACUGAGUUAUUCUUGAUAUAUGUGGAGGGGCAUAAAUGCUAGCUAAGCAAUUAGCUUAUUUUUAAGCUCGUAACUCAUAUCAAGAUCUUUUCUUUAAUUCUUUUUCGUGUCUUUAUUUUGUAUAAUUUAAUGGUACAUGACUCUUUGAUUAUGCCAAUAUUUCUAGGCUAAUAUUUAUGGGAACAUGUAUCCUUAAUACUGGUUGUUACUAAUUUUUUUGUUGGCUGCUGAUGACGGAAUUCAAUAUCUGACUUCUGAUUGGUUGAAUUGGCCUGAGGGGACGCAUCCCUUUUCUCCCUUCAGCAGCCAUAUUGGAUUUAUUAGAUCGCACAUACAUACUGGCAAAGUUUUUUCAAACCCACCUCUCUUCCUCCCCUUGUUUGGGGUUACAAUAAAUAAGUGGUACUAUAUUGUCACUAUUGAUAAUUGAUAUGAUGAAAAUGUUGUAGUUUUUUAUGUGUUGAUUAUAUUCGUAUAGUGGGUGCCAUAUUGGCGACAUGUAUUAUUCCUUUAAUGUUGUUUAAUGUUUAUGUACAAGUUAAAAAAAAUUCAAAUGUACACCCUGCUUUCAGUUCAGUCCACGGUUUUCCAGAGUUUUUUUAUAUCGUCUUUUUAUCUCUGGUUUUUAGCCCAGGACUGGAUCUUUAUGUCAUAUUUUGUGGCGGUUUUCAACCCUACUAAGGCUAGCAUGGCGGCGGUUUUUAUGUCAACCCCACUAAGGCUAGCAUAGGUUCUUGUAUGUUUUUAUCUACAUUUUGAUAUUGAUUGUAGUUGCCAUUAUUGUAUGGGUGCAACUACUUUGCAAUCAUAAAAAAAUAUUUCAUGUUAGAAGCCACUAGGUGACUUUUUUAGUAAUAAAUUUAAAUGUCACCUUGGUGGGUGGCCAUUUCAAUUUCA
Long non-coding RNA from Pecten maximus, 4089 nucleotides. RefSeq lists it as uncharacterized. NCBI's taxonomy places the organism in Eukaryota, Metazoa, Mollusca, Bivalvia, Pectinida, Pectinidae. The record is from RefSeq and is a predicted model, not a curated record. The transcript is spliced from 2 exons.